UACGUAGGGGGCAAGCGUUGUCCGGAAUCAUUGGGCGUAAAGAGCGUGUAGGCGGCCACUUAAGUCCUGCGUGAAAUCCUGCGGCUCAACCGCAGGCGGUCGUGGGAAACUGGGUGGCUAGAGUGCGGGAGAGGAGAGUGGAAUUCCUGGUGUAGUGGUGGAAUGCGCAGAUAUCAGGAAGAACACCCGUGGCGAAGGCGGCUCUCUGGAACGCAACUGACGCUGAGACGCGAAAGCGUGGGGAGCAAACAGG
Molecule: ribosomal RNA, 253 nt
Filed under: uncultured bacterium
Lineage: Bacteria
Description: partial 16S ribosomal RNA
Rfam family: Bacterial small subunit ribosomal RNA
Source: RNAcentral